UUGGAGAGUUUGAUCCUGGCUCAGGACGAACGCUGGCGGCACGCUUAACACAUGCAAGUCGAACGAGGUCCAUGGAGCUUGCUCCGGAAGACCUAGUGGCGAACGGGUGCGUAACACGUGAGAAACCUGCCCUGAACUUGGGAAUAACAGUUGGAAACGACUGCUAAUACCGAAUACCUUCACACCGUCGCAUGGUGGAGUGAAGAAAGCUUUUGCGGUUUGGGAGGGUCUCGCGGCCUAUCAGCUUGUUGGUGAGGUAACGGCUCACCAAGGCAUCGACGGGUAGCUGGUCUGAGAGGAUGAUCAGCCACACUGGGACUGAGACACGGCCCAGACUCCUACGGGAGGCAGCAGUGGGGAAUAUUGCACAAUGGGCGCAAGCCUGAUGCAGC
Molecule: ribosomal RNA, 392 nt
Filed under: Ilumatobacter sp.
Lineage: Bacteria; Bacillati; Actinomycetota; Acidimicrobiia; Acidimicrobiales; Ilumatobacteraceae
Description: bacterial SSU rRNA
Rfam family: Bacterial small subunit ribosomal RNA
Source: RNAcentral